Molecule: ribosomal RNA, 650 nt
Filed under: uncultured bacterium
Lineage: Bacteria
Description: bacterial SSU rRNA
Rfam family: Bacterial small subunit ribosomal RNA
Source: RNAcentral
CCUAACACAUGCAAGUCGAACGGAAAGGCCCUGCUUGCAGGGUACUCGAGUGGCGAACGGGUGAGUAACACGUGGGUGAUCUGCCCUGCACUUCGGGAUAAGCCUGGGAAACUGGGUCUAAUACCGGAUAGGAGCCAUUUUUAGUGUGAUGGUUGGAAAGUUUUUCGGUGUAGGAUGAGCUCGCGGCCUAUCAGCUUGUUGGUGGGGUAAUGGCCUACCAAGGCGGCGACGGGUAGCCGGCCUGAGAGGGUGGACGGCCACAUUGGGACUGAGAUACGGCCCAGACUCCUACGGGAGGCAGCAGUGGGGAAUAUUGCACAAUGGGCGCAAGCCUGAUGCAGCGACGCCGCGUGGGGGAUGACGGCCUUCGGGUUGUAAACUCCUUUCGCUAGGGACGAAGCUUUUUGUGACGGUACCUAGAUAAGAAGCACCGGCUAACUACGUGCCAGCAGCCGCGGUAAUACGUAGGGUGCGAGCGUUGUCCGGAAUUACUGGGCGUAAAGGGCUCGUAGGUGGUUUGUCGCGUCGUCUGUGAAAUUCCGGGGCUUAACUCCGGGCGUGCAGGCGAUACGGGCAUAACUUGAGUACUGUAGGGGUAACUGGAAUUCCUGGUGUAGCGGUGAAAUGCGCAGAUAUCAGGAGGAACACCG